GUUUCCUGGAGGGGGCGUGGUCAGUCACCUUCAAGCAAUCAAUGUUGGACACCCCCGUUGGUUACAUUUAUUUAUUUACUUACAGGGGCAUACCCUCACACCAGUGACCCCGCUACCCCCUAGUAUCCAAGCCCAAUCCCAAUCCCCGCCCCUGUCAGUGUAUGCACCCACGCAUCCAAGCACCCUCUCUACAGAGUAUGCAGCCGCGCAACCACCCCACCUCCACCCCUGUCAGUGUAUUGUGCCGCGCAAUCCGCUACUGCUGGGCAAACUCACCAUCUCAGGCCAUGCCCAUCUCAGAUAGUCCAGCCUGAGCUGACAUGAUACAUGCUGAGAGGUCGCUGCCUGCCUGGGAAAAGAGCGAUCCCGUCUGCUGCCUCGGUCCGCCCACAGCCCAGUCAGGACUUUCUUAUCACUGUGAUGGGCUGCUUCCUGUGUCUAACCGGACAUCCGGAGCUUGGGACCAAUCCACUACCAAACCAUCUGUGGUACCAGGAAUCUCCCAGGGUGAUAUAUCGAUGCUGCUGUGUCUUAUGGAGCUUACGGUGAUAUUUGUGUGUUUUGUUAAUUGAUAACAAAGGCUCUUCAACACAGGUGAGGGCAAUCUUAAAAUAAGAGAGAAGUCCAGGAACAGAGCAGUUGGUCCCUCUAUGCUAGGACCGGCUAAACUGAA
This is a long non-coding RNA of Pseudophryne corroboree (corroboree frog), 673 nucleotides long. RefSeq lists it as uncharacterized. The transcript is spliced from 3 exons. Lineage: Eukaryota; Metazoa; Chordata; Amphibia; Anura; Myobatrachidae. The record is from RefSeq and is a predicted model, not a curated record.